AAAUAAGCCAAGUUAGAAAUGGACAAAAGACUUAAAUAGACAUUUCACCAAAGAAGAUAUGCAAAUGUCCAUUAAGCACAUGGAAAGAGGCUUAACAUUAUUAGUCAUUAGGGAAAUGCAGACCAAAAACA
Long non-coding RNA from Sapajus apella (tufted capuchin), 131 nucleotides. RefSeq lists it as uncharacterized. The record is from RefSeq and is a predicted model, not a curated record. The transcript has 3 exons. NCBI's taxonomy places the organism in Eukaryota, Metazoa, Chordata, Mammalia, Primates, Cebidae.